GAUGAACGCUGGCGGCGUGCCUAAUACAUGCAAGUCGAGCGAACGGACGAGAAGCUUGCUUUUCUGAUGUUAGCGGCGGACGGGUGAGUAACACGUGGAUAACCUACCUAUAAGACUGGGAUAACUUCGGGAAACCGGAGCUAAUACCGGAUAAUAUUUUGAACCGCAUGGUUCAAAAGUGAAAGACGGUCUUGCUGUCACUUAUAGAUGGAUCCGCGCUGCAUUAGCUAGUUGGUAAGGUAACGGCUUACCAAGGCAACGAUGCAUAGCCGACCUGAGAGGGUGAUCGGCCACACUGGAACUGAGACACGGUCCAGACUCCUACGGGAGGCAGCAGUAGGGAAUCUUCCGCAAUGGGCGAAAGCCUGACGGAGCAACGCCGCGUGAGUGAUGAAGGUCUUCGGAUCGUAAAACUCUGUUAUUAGGGAAGAACAUAUGUGUAAGUAACUGUGCACAUCUUGACGGUACCUAAUCAGAAAGCCACGGCUAACUACGUGCCAGCAGCCGCGGUAAUACGUAGGUGGCAAGCGUUAUCCGGAAUUAUUGGGCGUAAAGCGCGCGUAGGCGGUUUUUUAAGUCUGAUGUGAAAGCCCACGGCUCAACCGUGGAGGGUCAUUGGAAACUGGAAAACUUGAGUGCAGAAGAGGAAAGUGGAAUUCCAUGUGUAGCGGUGAAAUGCGCAGAGAUAUGGAGGAACACCAGUGGCGAAGGCGACUUUCUGGUCUGUAACUGACGCUGAUGUGCGAAAGCGUGGGGAUCAAACAGGAUUAGAUACCCUGGUAGUCCACGCCGUAAACGAUGAGUGCUAAGUGUUAGGGGGUUUCCGCCCCUUAGUGCUGCAGCUAACGCAUUAAGCACUCCGCCUGGGGAGUACGACCGCAAGGUUGAAACUCAAAGGAAUUGACGGGGACCCGCACAAGCGGUGGAGCAUGUGGUUUAAUUCGAAGCAACGCGAAGAACCUUACCAAAUCUUGACAUCCUUUGACAACUCUAGAGAUAGAGCCUUCCCCUUCGGGGGACAAAGUGACAGGUGGUGCAUGGUUGCCGUCAGCUCGUGUCGUGAGAUGUUGGGUUAAGUCCCGCAACGAGCGCAACCCUUAAGCUUAGUUGCCAUCAUUAAGUUGGGCACUCUAAGUUGACUGCCGGUGACAAACCGGAGGAAGGUGGGGAUGACGUCAAAUCAUCAUGCCCCUUAUGAUUUGGGCUACACACGUGCUACAAUGGACAAUACAAAGGGCAGCGAAACCGCGAGGUCAAGCAAAUCCCAUAAAGUUGUUCUCAGUUCGGAUUGUAGUCUGCAACUCGACUACAUGGAGCUGGAAUCGCUAGUAAUCGUAGAUCAGCAUGCUACGGUGAAUACGUUCCCGGGUCU
RNAcentral lists this ribosomal RNA (1372 nucleotides) under uncultured bacterium. RNAcentral describes it as "bacterial SSU rRNA". It matches the Rfam family "Bacterial small subunit ribosomal RNA", at positions 28 to 1381 of the family's 1533-position model. The record is from RNAcentral.